CCCACACACACACGGAGGCAGCCGCGGAGCCGGGAGGAUGAGGGGGGCGAGGGACCGAGCGAGAAGGAGAGGACUGGGCGGCUUGCCUAGGGCUUCCCGCCACUGAGGCCAAGUUCCUCAGGCCGGAUAGGGAGCGGGCCCGGUCCGGAACUCGGCGGGAUGAUCUUCUCACUUGAUCCCGGAGAUCCACGGAUUAGGGUAGGCCUCGUUUCCCUACGAGAGGCUGGAGCGGCCUGGUUCCAGGCCCUGUUGAUUCCUGGGUUCGGGACGGGAGUGGACCCGGAGGCCUCCUCCCUUAGGCAGGGAGAAGUGGGGGCGACUCAGUCCCCUUAGCGUCUCGAGACCGCCUCCGCCCUGGCUUGCCGCGCCUGCGGCCUCCGAUCUGCCCCGGCUCCUAGCGAGAUGUUUAUCUCCGCGGCUCCUGCUCCUCCCUCCCCCUCGGGAGGGUUCUGGGCCUUUCCAUGUAUUUUUUUUUUUAAUCUUAUCUGGGAUUCCUCCACUUCUCCCCCCCCCCUUCAAACAAGAGAGAGAAGAAAACAAAGAAGAAUAAGAGACGACAAUAGCCUUUGAACCACGGGAUCAGAGUUUGUCAGCACAAUGGAAAUGGAAUGAAAUUUCUUUUCAUCUUACGGGUUUCCGAAGACCCAUCUAAUCUUUCUGUUAUACCAUUUCUCUCCUUUAUACUCCUAUUCUAAAAAGACACAAGCAUUUUGAAUCAAUAAAAGGGUAUACUUUAGAUCUUGGUAAUAGCUGAAUAAAUAAAAGUGUAAUUGAGGUUAUUUUUGGAAAAUGAGAUUGUGAGAUUAAAAGUGAAAAGCUAGAAGAAAAUAUUUGGAAACUAACUAAAAGGUCUUUCUUUCAGAUGUAUGCAGGGGAUAAAAACAAGUUGUCUUUUUUAAAUGUCGAAAUUUGGGGAACAGUUCAACACAGUGAAUGGGCUUUUCUUUGGUGUAAGGCCUUGGUGAUCUCUUGGCAUCAUUUGUAUAUGUGAUAAAAAAAAAAGGCUUUGAAUGGGAAUAAUUUUGUACUAGACAUCUGGAAACAUUUUCGUUCUAAAGUGAUACUAGUAAGUAAAAAAUGGUAAGUACAAGGAAAAAAUACUUUUUGUUUUGUUUUUGCUUGUAUUCUAAAACUGUUGAAUUUCACAUCCUAGAUGAGUAGAAGUAAUAAUUCUAUUCCAUAUUUGUGAACUGUGAAAAUUAUUUCAAAGUAAUGUUAAGUAUGUAAAAAAAAAUUUUUUUUGCAUGUCUCGUUUCCUUAUGGACUUGAAUUACCUGGAACCUUUCCUUGAACAGAAAAGAUUUAUUUCUUUACAGAAGAGAUCUUCACUUCUGUUUGAAUUGCUUUUGAAGUCCCAUUUGGUGGAAUGAAAAGACUUAACACUAACUGGAUUAAACAAGUUUACUUGUCAGAUUGGUAUGUGGAUAAAAGAGAAGAAUAAAAUAGUUCAUUGUAGUACAUAACAUGAUACAUCUUAAAGCGGUUUGAAAUUUUUCCAGCCUUCACUAAUGAACAUAUGGGGUGUGACUAUAAAAUAAUGAAACUAUUUUCUUCCUGGUAUUUGUGGAGACAGUCUUAUUUCUUUAUAGUCAUAAAUGUUUUGUUGGUAUGACAGCUAAAAGAAGCCAUGAUGAAUUCUUUCAUCUAAUGUCUUUUUUGCCUUUGAAAAAGUGUUAUGGUAUACUUGUGGUAGUUUAACAUCAGUUACACAAUUGAGGAGACAAUGAGACUGCUCCUUUGGGAAAAGCCAUUGUUUACAGAUGUCUGUUCACUUGGGAAAUCUUCCUUUUGUGGCUGAGUUCUAUAUGAAUUAAUUCUUCAAAACUGCUGUUCAUUUUUUUUCCUAAUUUAUUUAGGACAUAAAGACAAUAGUUCAAAAUAGCUAAUCUUCAUUUUAGAAACUUGUUUCUCCCUGAGCCUCAUGGAACAUCCUAAAUGAAAUUACAACUUUAUUUUUAAAACCAGUGUCAGAAUCCUUGAUUAUUAUAAUUAUAAUGUUUUGAUGAAAUUUUGCCUAGUUUUUCGAUUGUACUGAUUUAGGUUUCACUGUCAUUCCAUUAUGUGGAAUGGAUUUGAUGUCUUAAGGAAUAUUAUUGAAAUAUAACUUUGCUACUUAUGAAUUCUAGCCUAAUUGAUUAGGAAAACUGUUUAAAAGAGAAAAAGUUUCUAUUUCCCAGUAUUUUUGCAUUGGAUGAAAAAGCUUAAUACAGACCGGUACAUAUAUGAAGCUAAGAUUUUAUUGGAGCACAGUACAAGCAGCAUUCAAAAAAAUCCCUUGACUUUAACAAUUUAAAAUGUAAUCUAUUAAAAUGGAAAAGCUUAGUACUAAAGAGCAAGGUGCGUUAGGACCAAGUAUACCAUUUUUCAUCUUUAUGUAACACAUUUCCUUGUUGACAAAUACAGUAGGAACCCUUGUGAUUUCAGUGAGUCAGUUACAUAUUCUCAAUUGCCCAUACUAUACAUUCUUUAAUUCAGGAAUAAUUGAUUCUUAAAAAUCAAGGCACUAAAAGGAAACUUACUUGUGUAUUCAGGUUAUUGGUCUAUAAGCUGAGAUUGUAUAUAUUAUAGAGAUAUUUUUCAGGCACUGGUUGGACUGAAUGAUAUAAUUGGAACUAUAUGGUGCUAGGACAAUUAGUCAUUGCCCAGAUAGCGUAGAAGAAAUAUUUUAAUCUUAAUUGCCAGUCCCCUGGCAUCUGGUGGUUGGUUACUGUAUGGGCUUCCACUUCUAGCCAUAACCAAAAAGAAAUAAAGGAAAAAGCCACACUCUCAUGCUAUCUUUAAAUAGUAGUGAGAUGUCAGCAAAGAAAAAGAGCUCUUCAUUCCAAAGUGUUCUAAGGACUUAUUUUAUAUCAGAG
Molecule: long non-coding RNA, 2855 nt
Filed under: Sarcophilus harrisii (Tasmanian devil)
Lineage: Eukaryota; Metazoa; Chordata; Mammalia; Dasyuromorphia; Dasyuridae
Description: lncRNA (ENSSHAG00000028689.1)
Source: RNAcentral